Molecule: unclassified non-coding RNA, 306 nt
Filed under: Hevea brasiliensis (rubber tree)
Lineage: Eukaryota; Viridiplantae; Streptophyta; Magnoliopsida; Malpighiales; Euphorbiaceae
Source: RNAcentral
UGAAACAUUUUACUGUAAUUUUGUGACGAUGAGUUUACUAGUCUUUGAGUUUCAUAGAAUAUAGUGUUUGGCCAUGAUGUGUUGGGAACCUUUGGCUGGGAAUCAUAAACACAACAAGAAAGAGGGAAAAAUAUUGAAUCACUGAUCGGGAAGCCCAACUUCAAAAGUUCCAUAACUUAUUUCAUAAAAUUCUAUAAUGCUUCAUACAAAUUAUAAUUAAAAUGAUUGAAAUUUGCAAUAAGAUUAGAAGAUAAAAGAAAAUUGCUUCUGAUGAAGAAAAUUAGUUACCAAGUCAAAAAAAAAAAA